GAGCUCAAUCGGUAGAGCGUGUGGCUCUUAACCUCAAGGUUGCGGGUUCGAUCCCCGCCUCG
Molecule: transfer RNA, 62 nt
Filed under: Ascocoryne sarcoides NRRL 50072
Lineage: Eukaryota; Fungi; Ascomycota; Leotiomycetes; Helotiales; Gelatinodiscaceae
Description: tRNA-Lys (CTT) (tRNA-Lys-CTT-2-1)
Rfam family: tRNA
About the family: Transfer RNA (tRNA) molecules are approximately 80 nucleotides in length. Their secondary structure includes four short double-helical elements and three loops (D, anti-codon, and T loops). Further hydrogen bonds mediate the characteristic L-shaped molecular structure. tRNAs have two regions of fundamental functional importance: the anti-codon, which is responsible for specific mRNA codon recognition, and the 3' end, to which the tRNAs corresponding amino acid is attached (by aminoacyl-tRNA synthetases). tRNAs cope with the degeneracy of the genetic code in two manners: having more than one tRNA (with a specific anti-codon) for a particular amino acid; and 'wobble' base-pairing, i.e. permitting non-standard base-pairing at the 3rd anti-codon position.
Source: RNAcentral